GGGGAUGUGUUUUAGUGGUAAAAUUUAUCUUUCGCACGCAGCGGACGAAUCUAGAUGAGCCCUGGGUUCGAUUCCCAGCAUCUCCA
This is a non-coding RNA of Cryptococcus wingfieldii CBS 7118, 86 nucleotides long. Lineage: Eukaryota; Fungi; Basidiomycota; Tremellomycetes; Tremellales; Cryptococcaceae. The record is from the annotation of a RefSeq genome assembly.